GGCUUGGUGUUCUAGGGGUAUGAUUCUCGCUUUGUGUGUGAGAAGUUCCGGGUUCGAAUCCCGGUCGGGACCA
Molecule: non-coding RNA, 73 nt
Organism: Trichonephila clavipes
Lineage: Eukaryota; Metazoa; Arthropoda; Arachnida; Araneae; Nephilidae
Source: the annotation of a GenBank genome assembly